Molecule: unclassified non-coding RNA, 230 nt
Filed under: Oryza sativa (Asian cultivated rice)
Lineage: Eukaryota; Viridiplantae; Streptophyta; Magnoliopsida; Poales; Poaceae
Description: partial microRNA MIR431f-1 precursor
Source: RNAcentral
UCCGUCUCAUAAUAGAUGUCGCUUUGACUUUUUCGUUACAACGUUUGACCCUUUGUUUUAUUUGAAAAAUUAGUGCAAAUAUAAAAAAGAUAAGUCAUAUUUAAAAUACUUUUGAUAAUAAAGCAAAUCACAAAUAAAAUAAAUAACAAUUGUAAAAAAUUUUUGAAUAAGACGAAUGAUCAAACAUUACAAAUAAAAACUCAAAGCGACAAGUAAUAUAGGAUGGAGGU